This 328-nucleotide long non-coding RNA is filed under the name Ricinus communis (castor bean). Its description in RNAcentral is "long non-coding RNA (RCOM_LNC002216)". Lineage: Eukaryota; Viridiplantae; Streptophyta; Magnoliopsida; Malpighiales; Euphorbiaceae. The record is from RNAcentral.
ACACGGCUGCCUCCACUUCGCCGGAACUCUCUCCUCCGGCCACCAAAACCGACGCCGCUACCGCCAAAAGGAAGCUCUCUCCAAAGGGAGCCGAUCGCCACCAAGAUCGGCCGGAAACAGCCGGAACGACGCUCGGAAGCCGCUGCCACACGUCGCGCGAUUCCGCCGCCUGCCGACGCUGCCAGCUGCCUCCACCGCCACCAUCGUGCUCGUCGUUGCCGCGCGCUCCUUUCGACGUCAACACCGCCCUCAGCCUGGCCUCCAGCGUCCGUCCACCAUGGACGCCGACGCCUCUCUCUCUCCUCCCUUUCUUCUUCUUCCUUCUUUC